Molecule: ribosomal RNA, 433 nt
Filed under: uncultured bacterium
Lineage: Bacteria
Description: bacterial SSU rRNA
Rfam family: Bacterial small subunit ribosomal RNA
Source: RNAcentral
AAUUCGCCCUUAGAGUUUGAUCCUGGCUCAGAUUGAACGCUGGCGGCAUGCCUUACACAUGCAAGUCGAACGGUAACGCGGGGCAACCUGGCGACGAGUGGCGAACGGGUGAGUAAUAUAUCGGAACGUGCCCAGUCGUGGGGGAUAACUGCUCGAAAGAGCAGCUAAUACCGCAUACGACCUGAGGGUGAAAGCGGGGGAUCUUCGGACCUCGCGCGAUUGGAGCGGCCGAUAUCAGAUUAGGUAGUUGGUGGGGUAAAGGCCUACCAAGCCGACGAUCUGUAGCUGGUCUGAGAGGACGACCAGCCACACUGGGACUGAGACACGGCCCAGACUCCUACGGGAGGCAGCAGUGGGGAAUUUUGGACAAUGGGGGCAACCCUGAUCCAGCCAUGCCGCGUGCGGGAAGAAGGCCUUCGGGUUGUAAACCCCU